Long non-coding RNA from Mercurialis annua (annual mercury), 390 nucleotides. RefSeq lists it as uncharacterized. Lineage: Eukaryota; Viridiplantae; Streptophyta; Magnoliopsida; Malpighiales; Euphorbiaceae. The record is from RefSeq and is a predicted model, not a curated record. The transcript is spliced from 3 exons.
CUCUCAAAUUCGUUCUCCUUUUUCCUUUGAUGAUCAACAUAUGCAAAGAUUUCAAUCCUCCAUAACUUCCUCGUUUCUCUACGGAAUUGGAUGAUUCUUGCGGCCACGGAACGAGGAGAAGGAGAGCUACUGAUCUAGCCCUAUUAUUCAAGGAGUUUAUAAGCUUUCAUGGAAGAUUGUUGAUGGUGAAUUUAAGCCUUGAAGCUUCGGCAUAGGGACAACAUCCAAGACUCGACGAAGCGACUAUCGACAAGGCUCGAGGGGAACGGAUCGAGAUGUCUUCAUGUUUAUUUGAAGAAUUUGGAUAGCAAGUGGUGAGUACACUUUAAAUUACUCGUUAAUAUUCAUAAAACUACGUAUUUUAAUACGAAAAGCUAUAUGAAUAUUUAU